This 452-nucleotide ribosomal RNA is filed under the name uncultured organism. Its description in RNAcentral is "bacterial SSU rRNA". It matches the Rfam family "Bacterial small subunit ribosomal RNA", at positions 346 to 794 of the family's 1533-position model. The record is from RNAcentral.
GUGCAGCAGGCGGAAUUUUGACAAUGGGGAAACCCUGAUCGAGCGACGCCGCGUGGAGGAUGAAGGUCUUCGGAUUGUAAACUCCUGUCAUUGGGGAACAAGGUGCAUACGUUAACUGCGUGUGUAUUGAUAGUACCCGAAGAGGAAGGGACGGCUAACUCUGUGCCAGCAGCCGCGGUAAUACAGAGGUCCCAAGCGUUGUUCGGAUUCAUUGGGCGUAAAGGGUGCGUAGGCGGCGCGGUAAGUCGGGUGUGAAAUCUCGGAGCUUAACUCCGAAACUGCAUUCGAUACUGCCGUGCUUGAGGACUGGAGAGGAGACUGGAAUUUACGGUGUAGCGGUGAAAUGCGUAGAUAUCGUAAGGAAGACCAGUGGCGAAGGCGGGUCUCUGGACAGUUCCUGACGCUGAGGCACGAAGGCCAGGGGAGCAAACGGGAUUAGAUACCCCCGUAGU